UACGGAGGGAGCUAGCGUUGUUCGGAAUUACUGGGCGUAAAGCGCGCGUAGGCGGCUUUGUAAGUUAGAGGUGAAAGCCCGGGGCUCAACCCCGGAACUGCCUUUAAGACUGCAUCGCUUGAAUCCGGGAGAGGUGAGUGGAAUUCCGAGUGUAGAGGUGAAAUUCGUAGAUAUUCGGAAGAACACCAGUGGCGAAGGCAGCGAACUGGCGCUUUAUCGACGCUCAUGCACGAAAGCAUGGGGAUCAAACAGG
Molecule: ribosomal RNA, 253 nt
Filed under: uncultured bacterium
Lineage: Bacteria
Description: partial 16S ribosomal RNA
Rfam family: Bacterial small subunit ribosomal RNA
Source: RNAcentral